CUCAGCCCGAUUCCAAAAGCCCAGGGGGUGGGCCUCGCCCUUCCUCUCCCUCCAGGUUUAAUUAUCUGAAGAGUCUUGGACUUUCAUUUCUUGUUUUUUGCUCGUUUGCUUGUUUGUUUGCACCUGGUUGAUGUAUAAGUCUUGGACUUUGGGAGACCCAAAGAGAAAGAAGGUGUUGGCAAUAUCCUUGAAGAGACUAAAAGAACUCAGAACAACACUGAACAAGCCAGCAGAGCCAUCAACUCACCCCUACAGUCUCCAUAGACAGACUCCAUGAAAGCAUUGGCCAUCGGCUCUCACUGGUUUCUGCCCCAAAUUCACACACUCCCUCCUAUCACCAAAGCCACCCGCCACCGCUGGCCUCCUGCAUGCUGUGGGAGGAGAGGAGGGCAGACAACGUUGCCUCCCCUGACUCCCAUCGUGCGGGCUUGUGAGUCCAUGGAGCACAGAUGUCCAGGGAACUAUCUGAUGCAGCAUGAGGGGAAGGUGAUGCAGCGGCAUCCCACCUUGAGAUGAGAGAAAGCUGUUCUGGGCUUCCAGUGAUUGGCAACUGAGGUCACUCCUUUGCCCAUACCCCCGCCCCGAGACUGUUUCCAGUGCCCCAAGUUCACCUCAAGGAUCAUUGCACAGCAGAAAUGGAAGAAGGCCACCAGCCAAGAAAUGCUGUCAGUGCCUGGAAGCUGGAAAGGCAAUGAAAUGGAUUUUCCCCAGAACCUCCAGGGAGAAUAUGGCACAGCCUCUACCUUGAUUUUCACCCAGUGAGACACAUUUUGGAUUUCUGACCUACAGAAUUGUAAGGCUGCCUGGAUCCCCAGAGUUUGUCUGGAAAGCCUCUUGAGAUGGGGUUAUGUGCUCCGAGGAUCCCAGGAGGAAGGAUGGGGCAACAGCAGACAAACCUAUGCCUCUGCAGCAGCUGUACCGUUGUCCUGGGAGUGAGCCCCAGCCGUGGCUCAAGGCACACGUGCCUCCAGAGGACAAUCUGGGAUGCUCAGGGGACAGAGAGGCAGAGGGACUAUCAGGGUGAAGCUGUCUUUUUCACUUGUUUGGCACUCAGCCCAGGGCCUGGAUUUAUCCUGCACAAAAUGAACAGUGCAGGGCCCUUCAUCUGGGGAAAG
This 1115-nucleotide long non-coding RNA is filed under the name Pan troglodytes (chimpanzee). RNAcentral describes it as "lincRNA". The record is from RNAcentral. Lineage: Eukaryota; Metazoa; Chordata; Mammalia; Primates; Hominidae.